GACGAACGCUGGCGGCGUGCUUAACACAUGCAAGUCGAACGGUGAAGCGCUUUCCUUUUUGGUUGGUGUGGAUGAGUGGCGAACGGGUGAGUAACACGUGAGUAACCUGCCCCCUUCUUCUGGAUAACCGCAUGAAAGUGUGGCUAAUACGGGAUAUUCUGCGCCUGCUGCAUGGUGGGUGUGGGAAAGAUUGUGCCUUUGGGUGUUUUCGGUGGGGGAUGGGCUCGCGGCCUAUCAGCUUGUUGGUGGGGUGAUGGCCUACCAAGGCGGUGACGGGUAGCCGGCCUGAGAGGGUGGACGGUCACACUGGGACUGAGACACGGCCCAGACUCCUACGGGAGGCAGCAGUGGGGAAGAUUGCACAAUGGGCGCAAGCCUGAUGCAGCGACGCCGCGUGAGGGAUGGAGGCCUUCGGGUUGUGAACCUCUUUCGCCAGUGAAGCAGGCCUGCUCCUUGUGGGUGGGUUGACGGUAGCUGGAUAAGAAGCGCCGGCUAACUACGUG
This 503-nucleotide ribosomal RNA is filed under the name uncultured bacterium. Its description in RNAcentral is "partial 16S ribosomal RNA". It matches the Rfam family "Bacterial small subunit ribosomal RNA", at positions 28 to 507 of the family's 1533-position model. The record is from RNAcentral.